RNAcentral lists this long non-coding RNA (1636 nucleotides) under Canis lupus familiaris (dog). RNAcentral describes it as "lncRNA (ENSCAFG00845001067.1)". Lineage: Eukaryota; Metazoa; Chordata; Mammalia; Carnivora; Canidae. The record is from RNAcentral.
UUUUUUUUUUUUUUUUUUUUUUUUUUGGAAAAUGAUUCUUAACAUUAAUAAAUUUAAGAACAUCCAAAACCUGGCCAUUGAGGAUUCAGAAUCAUGCAUUGCCAGAAAUAACUUUUGCCUAAAUUGGACCUUCUACAUAUGCAAUGAGACCUGAUUCUGUAUUAUUUCAUGUACUGCUAAGCCUGUGUUUCUGUCAGUGAAUAAUUAUUUUGAGUUAUUAGAAGGAAAAUGAAGCAUAACAUUUGCAUGAUUUCCCCCAUACUACAGAAAUAAGUCAACAAUUAAAGGGGAGAAAAAAUCAGCACACAAAAUCUUGUGCUCUGAAAACAAAGGAACAAUCUUGUUCCCCUUCCUCCUCAUCUUCCCAAGUCUUACUGACCCAAUUAUAAAUUUUCCAAUAGUACUAUAUGUAACCCAAAAGGCAAAGGCCCUGGCUAAACUUUUAGUCCUUUCAGAGCAUCUAUGACUGGGAUGAUAGCCUCCAUUCUUAAAUGACCAAACUCAAAAUGGGGAAAUGAAGAGUGGGGAAUCUGGUUACUUCAGGUUUGGACUUAAAUUGCUCUUGAGAGAAUUUUUCUUUUGCCACACUUUUCUCACCCCAAAGAGUUAUCUUUAUGGCAGUUUAAAGUGGGGGCUCACUUAAUGAGCUCAUCAUUCCAUCUUCCUUCAAUAAAUAUUUAUUACAGGCCAAAAUGGUCAGCCCCUUGAUGGAAGACAAAGUCCCUGCACUCAUGGAGCAAACAAAUUCUGUAAAUGGGAAGAACUAAUAAGCACAUAAAUGAUUUAAGUUCAGAAAUAACUGAACAUGAAAAUACAUAGAAAUAAGUGAUAUAAAGAAAAUUAACUGUUUGAAGUAAAGGGGAAUGAUUUGUUCACUACUCUGAAUGCAGUGGUCAAGGGAGAACUCCCUAAGGAGUCAAGUGUUUAAACUGAACAAAAGAAGGAGCCAGGGGAAAAGCAUCCCAUUCAAACCUUCCUCCUUUCAACAUACACUGAGCAAGAGUCCCCAUCAUCUGAAUAAUAUCAAGGUACAAACAACAGCAACAAAAACCACAUGAAUUGUGUUUGAGAUGAAAAAGAAAUAAUGGAGUGUUUAGAAAACAGUUCUCAAAAGCAUGGUUUACUGGAAUGUAGAUGACUCUUUUUUCACUUUGAGCUUUCUUGAAAACGUGUAGAUUUUAGUUAUUCUUUCUGAUUCUCAUUUUUCAAAAGCAGUUGUUAAACAACCAUCUUCAAAUACUCAAGUUAGAGAGUGACUUUGUUCCCUUCAAUUUGGGAGUUAGGAAACCUGUGACCAUUUUGUCCUUGAUCACAGUGAUUCUCAAGUAAGGCAACAGCUCUCUCACAUGGGAAACUUGUUAAAAUAUGAAUACCUCAUCUGAACCUUUAGUGAUCCCAAUAAAAACUACAUCCUAAAAUUGUUCUGACUUUACCUCCAACUGAAAGAGCAAAAGGCUGGGCUAGCAGAGAGCUUGGGUUGUUGCUCUCUGUGGGUAGGGAUAGGAGUUGAGUUACACAACGGGAGAGCUGGUUCUCCAGUAACACUGGACACGGGGCUAAGUUCUCGAAGAUCCACUACACUAGUGGUUUUCUUAAGGGGUUGGAAGGCUGGGCUCCUCAGAUAUUAUUCAGAGGC